This 227-nucleotide ribosomal RNA is filed under the name uncultured bacterium. Its description in RNAcentral is "partial 16S ribosomal RNA". It matches the Rfam family "Bacterial small subunit ribosomal RNA", at positions 524 to 750 of the family's 1533-position model. The record is from RNAcentral.
UACGUAGGGGGCAAGCGUUAUCCGGAAUUACUGGGCGUAAAGCGCACGCAGCGGUUCGCCAAGUUUGGAGUGACAGUUGUUCGGCUCAACCGACAAAGGACUUCAAAAACUGGUGAACUUGAGGACGAGAGAGGAACAUGGAACUCCAGGUGUAGUGGUGAAAUGCGUAGAGAUCGGGAGGAACACCUGUGGCGAAAGCGGCGCACUGGACCAUAACUGACGCUGAU